Molecule: ribosomal RNA, 591 nt
Filed under: Acremonium hansfordii
Lineage: Eukaryota; Fungi; Ascomycota; Sordariomycetes; Hypocreales; Bionectriaceae
Description: eukaryotic LSU rRNA
Rfam family: Eukaryotic large subunit ribosomal RNA
Source: RNAcentral
UAUCAAUAAGCGGAGGAAAAGAAACCAACAGGGAUUGCCCUAGUAACGGCGAGUGAAGCGGCAACAGCUCAAAUUUGAAAUCUGGCUCUCGGGCCCGAGUUGUAAUUUGUAGAGGAUGUUUCUGGCGACGUGUCUUCCGAGUUCCCUGGAACGGGACGCCAUAGAGGGUGAGAGCCCCGUCCGGUCGUACGCCUAGCCUCUGUGAAACUCCUUCGACGAGUCGAGUAGUUUGGGAAUGCUGCUCAAAAUGGGAGGUAUACGUCUUCUAAAGCUAAAUACCGGCCAGAGACCGAUAGCGCACAAGUAGAGUGAUCGAAAGAUGAAAAGCACUUUGAAAAGAGGGUUAAAUAGUACGUGAAAUUGCUGAAAGGGAAGCGCUCAUGACCAGACUUGGGCUCGGUGAAUCAUCCGGCGUUCUCGCCGGUGCACUUUGCCGGCCCAGGCCAGCAUCAGCUCGCCUCGGGGGAUAAAGGCUUCGGGAAUGUAGCUCCCUCGUGGAGUGUUAUAGACCGUUGCGUAAUACCCUGGGGCGGGCUGAGGUACGCGUUCUGCAAGGAUGCUGGCGUAAUGGUCAUCAGUGACCCGUCUUGA